UGCGGCGACGCCGCGUGAAGGAAGAAGUAUCUCGGUAUGUAAACUUCUAUCAGCAGGGAAGAUAGUGACGGUACCUGACUAAGAAGCCCCGGCUAACUACGUGCC
This 105-nucleotide ribosomal RNA is filed under the name uncultured bacterium. Its description in RNAcentral is "partial 16S ribosomal RNA". It matches the Rfam family "Bacterial small subunit ribosomal RNA", at positions 387 to 509 of the family's 1533-position model. The record is from RNAcentral.